UUUGCUGAUGAUGACUCCAUAGACCUGUACCGAAUGCGGAGAUGAUCGCAAAAUUGAACAUCUAAGGGGCUGAAGCAUU
Small nucleolar RNA from Dioscorea cayenensis subsp. rotundata (Guinea yam), 79 nucleotides. RefSeq annotates it as small nucleolar RNA SNORD25. NCBI's taxonomy places the organism in Eukaryota, Viridiplantae, Streptophyta, Magnoliopsida, Dioscoreales, Dioscoreaceae. The transcript has a single exon. The record is from RefSeq and is a predicted model, not a curated record.